AUAGAAUUAAAAAACUUGUUAAUUUUUUAAUUAAAAUGAGUCCUCUUUUCCUAAUCUCAUCAGUCGCCCUGAUGAAAAUACGUCAACGUUCGAAUUUUCAUGAUUCUUUUCAGAUCCGAUCUUUUUAUUAUUUAUUACUACGACUUAUUUUCGUCUUCGACAAAAGGUCAAUUUAUAUACAAUAAUUGCAUUGUAGCGGAUAUAGUUUAGUGGUAAAAGUGCGAUUCGUUCUAUUAAUCCCUUAAUAGUUA
Long non-coding RNA from Cucurbita maxima (winter squash), 251 nucleotides. RefSeq lists it as uncharacterized. The record is from RefSeq and is a predicted model, not a curated record. NCBI's taxonomy places the organism in Eukaryota, Viridiplantae, Streptophyta, Magnoliopsida, Cucurbitales, Cucurbitaceae. The transcript is spliced from 4 exons.